RNAcentral lists this long non-coding RNA (1356 nucleotides) under Olea europaea (common olive). Its description in RNAcentral is "long non-coding RNA (OEUR_LNC004050)". Lineage: Eukaryota; Viridiplantae; Streptophyta; Magnoliopsida; Lamiales; Oleaceae. The record is from RNAcentral.
GAUCUUACGGCGGUUUAGAUAAAUCUUUAAUUAACUAAUUACUAAUAAUUAAUAUCAAUAUAUACUUUAUUCACAAUUUAUGUAGAAAAGUUGAGUCAUCGAGGUUGAACGUAGUUGCCACGUCUUCAUAUUUUUCAAUUCAACGUUUCUACUGUCCUUUUGUUUAUCAAAAUCCUCGUCUUUUUUUUACCUCAUCAACCCUAUAAAGAAUUCUGCUCAAUUAUUAGAGAAUUUCCGAUAAAAAUUGAUCAUAAUUUUUGUUAUCUGGGUUCUGGGAGAUUCGACGAGGUGAUACUUUCAAUAUGCCCUAGAGGAAUUUUCAUACUUGGUCCUCAAUAUAUAUUUUCUUAAUUACAAGAUCGAUCCUUCACUUUUAAAAAGGAGAAAGUUGAUUCUCAAAAUUUCAAACAUUGAAUUUGUGGGUCUUAUAUGUUUAAGCCUCUAUUUGUCUUCCUUUAUAAAGAGUUUUCGAAAGACAGAAUGUGAUUAAAAAGUUGGAAAAAUGUUUUAAAUUUGAGUGCAAAAUAUUUUAUUAUAAUUUGUAUGAAUGUAUAAUUGAAAAUGAGUUUUGAAAAAGAAAGACAAAUAGGAAUAACUUUAAAAAAUUAAGCCCCCGUUUGAACCCUAUUUUUUGGGAUAAUGUAUUUUAAAAUAGUGAUUUUUUGAAAAAUAUAUAAUUAGAAAAUAAGAAAAAGUUUUGAGUAUACGUGUAAAAUUAUUUUAUAAAAGAGUGUGUGAUUGAAAAUGAAUUUUGAAAAUAAUGAAGCUGAAACAAGAGCUAAAUAUAAUUUUCAACUUGUACUGAUUCUAAAAUGAAGCAUGCUUGCUUGAAUGUUAAUCAAAUUGUGCACUAUAUAUAAUGAGAUAUUGGGACCAACUUUCUCUUUCUGAAAAUUGACAAGCAAUUUGAUAAUAGAUCCAAAGUUUAGGCAUACAGUGAAAUUAUACUUUUCUUGUUUUGUUUUGUUUUUCUUAAACAAGGAAAAUUCCUCGGUUUAUUUGUUUGGAUUUUUGUUGGUUAAGACUUGAUCUUACGGCGGUUUAGAUAAAUCUUUAAUUAACUAAUUACUAAUAAUUAAUAUCAAUAUAUACUUUAUUCACAAUUUAUGUAGAAAAGUUGAGUCAUCGAGGUUGAACGUAGUUGCCACGUCUUCAUAUUUUUCAAUUCAACGUUUCUACUGUCCUUUUGUUUAUCAAAAUCCUCGUCUUUUUUUUACCUCAUCAACUCUAUAAAGAAUUCUGCUCAAUUAUUAGAGAAUUUCCGAUAAAAAUUGAUCAUAAUUUUUGUUAUCUGGGUUCUGGGAGAUUUUCGACCUGGAUAUUGUAUUUCGGUGAGAUUUGUGUUGUAUUGAUGUA